Molecule: transfer RNA, 69 nt
Filed under: Lepus americanus (snowshoe hare)
Lineage: Eukaryota; Metazoa; Chordata; Mammalia; Lagomorpha; Leporidae
Description: tRNA-His
Rfam family: tRNA
About the family: Transfer RNA (tRNA) molecules are approximately 80 nucleotides in length.
Source: RNAcentral
GUAAAUAUAGUUUAAAAAAAACAUUAGAUCGUGAAUCUAAUAAUAGAAGAUUAUACCUCCUUAUUUACC